AACGAACGCUGGCGGCGCGCCUAACACAUGCAAGUCGAACGCGAAAGUGUAGCAAUACAUGAGUAAAGUGGCGCACGGGUGAGUAACGCGUAGGUGAUCUACCUUUGUGACCGGGAUAACCAGCCGAAAGGUUGGCUAAUACUGGAUAGAGCGAUUUGGUCGUAGAGAUUGAAUCGGGAAAGGGAGGCGUAGCAAUACGCUUUUGCACUGAGAUGAGCCUGCGUCUCAUUAGCUAGUUGGUAGGGUAAUGGCCUACCAAGGCAUUGAUGGGUAGCUGGUCUGAGAGGACGAUCAGCCACACUGGAACUGAAACACGGUCCAGACUCCUACGGGAGGCUG
Molecule: ribosomal RNA, 339 nt
Filed under: uncultured Pseudomonadota bacterium
Lineage: Bacteria; Pseudomonadati; Pseudomonadota
Description: bacterial SSU rRNA
Rfam family: Bacterial small subunit ribosomal RNA
Source: RNAcentral